This 253-nucleotide ribosomal RNA is filed under the name uncultured bacterium. RNAcentral's name for it is "partial 16S ribosomal RNA". It matches the Rfam family "Bacterial small subunit ribosomal RNA", at positions 524 to 776 of the family's 1533-position model. The record is from RNAcentral.
UACGGGGGGAGCAAGCGUUGUUCGGAUUUACUGGGCGUAAGGGCGCGUAGGCGGUCACGACAAGUCAGUUGUGAAAUCUCCGGGCUUAACUCGGAACGGUCAACUGAUACUGUCGGACUAGAGUGCAGAAGGGGCAACUGGAAUUCUCGGUGUAGCGGUGAAAUGCGUAGAUAUCGAGAGGAACACCUGCGGCGAAGGCGGGUUGCUGGGCUGACACUGACGCUGAGGCGCGAAAGCUAGGGGAGCGAACGGG